This 74-nucleotide transfer RNA is filed under the name bacterium. Its description in RNAcentral is "tRNA-Arg". It matches the Rfam family "tRNA". Rfam says of the family: Transfer RNA (tRNA) molecules are approximately 80 nucleotides in length. Their secondary structure includes four short double-helical elements and three loops (D, anti-codon, and T loops). The record is from RNAcentral.
ACGGGUAUAGCAUAAUUGGUUAAGGCAUAAACCUUCUAAGUUUAAUUAUUCCGGUUCGAAUCCGGAUACCCGCU